UGGCGGCAGGCCUAACACAUGCAAGUCGAGCGGUAACAUUUCUAGCUUGCUAGGAGAUGACGAGCGGCGGACGGGUGAGUAACGCGUAGAAAUCUACCUAGUAGUGGGGGAUAGCCCAGAGAAAUUUGGAUUAAUACCGCAUACGCCCUACGGGGGAAAGCGGGGGAUCUUCGGACCUCGUGCUAUUAGAUGAGUCUGCGUCGGAUUAGCUUGUUGGUGAGGUAAUGGCUCACCAAGGCGACGAUCCGUAGCUGGUCUGAGAGGAUGACCAGCCACACUGGAACUGAGACACGGUCCAGACUCCUACGGGAGGCAGCAGUGGGGAAUAUUGCACAAUGGGCGCAAGCCUGAUGCAGCCAUGCCGCGUGUGUGAAGAAGGCCUUAGGGUUGUAAAGCACUUUCAGCAGUGAGGAAAGGGGUGUCGUUAAUAGCGCCAUCCUGUGACGUUAACUGCAGAAGAAGGACCGGCUAACUCCGUG
This 479-nucleotide ribosomal RNA is filed under the name uncultured bacterium. Its description in RNAcentral is "bacterial SSU rRNA". It matches the Rfam family "Bacterial small subunit ribosomal RNA", at positions 37 to 507 of the family's 1533-position model. The record is from RNAcentral.